Molecule: unclassified non-coding RNA, 212 nt
Filed under: Hevea brasiliensis (rubber tree)
Lineage: Eukaryota; Viridiplantae; Streptophyta; Magnoliopsida; Malpighiales; Euphorbiaceae
Source: RNAcentral
GCUCUAUAGGACUCUUGAUUCGCCAUUUGUCAAAAUUCUUGUUGUAGUGUUUUCUUUAAAGUUGGGAGAGCACCAUUCGAAUGUGGUGUGUCAGCAGUUUAUUGCAGAUGAAGGCUCAAAUUGCUAUGGUGAUCUUGGGUUUGCGUGAACUUUCUAUCAAGUUCACAUUAUCAUACCGUCUUUGGAUCUUGUAGAAACUAGAUUCACGUUUG